UUUCACAAAUAUAUCCAAAGUACAAUCCAUAUAAUAAAUAUCUAUACUCUAUUUAUUCAUUUACAACCCAUUUGGAAUACAAUUACGGAACUCUACUCCAUAAUUUACUAUCCUUUGCAUUUACAUAUUCAGUACAAUGCUUAUUACUUUUAUCGAUCCGUAUCUCGUUCGAUUGGACUCCAGGAUUCUUCCAUCUAUUACCUGGGAAGGGUUGGAAGGGGGGGGGGGGGUGGGGGGGAGUACUAGUAGGAUUAGAUAACCCUCUCACCCUACACAAUCAUACAAAUGCUAAAAUAUUUUAAUGUGAUCACCCGUUUGGUUAUAUGAGCAUGCAGUUUGUCACACAAAUGGCAAUACAACAGCAAUCACAAUUAUUAUCACCUUCAUAUAAUCACAUCACGUGGAAAUUAGUCAGUGGAGUCACCCCCGACGAGUUGUCCUCUCAAACAGCCCAUCCUCUCAAACGUGUGCACCAGGGAGCCAAUCCCCCAUUCUGACCGACCAGUCUAAUCCUCACAUGAUCAGUCCUCUCAUUCUUUUUUACAUUCUUUUUUUUCUUUUCCAUAUCAUUCAUAUCAUAUCAUCAAGUGCACACGGGGGCGCCGAUCUCCCAUUUGCCCGGCCGACGGUCCAAUUUCACAAUUUCAUCAUAAUCAUGAUCCAUACUUUACCGACCGUCCUCUCAAACCCAUGGUGACCCACUUCAUCCUAAUUCCACACAAACAAAGCACAGUAAUAUCAUAUCACAAGUAAUCAAGCAAUUUUUAAUAUCAACAAUAGUGCAACACAAUAUGACAAUUCAACAAAAUAAUGCAUGAUAACAUUUAACCGUGAAUGCAUGAAUGCAGGCGGAUGAGGCGAAUUAUCUAACAUUACUCACAGUUUUUUGUUGUCCUUAAAAGGACUACCUUAUUGUGCGGUUCCAGCCUGUCUUCACAUGCCGACACUUUAUAAAUAUCUAUAUAAUAAGAAAAUUCUAAAUGAGAAUUCUAAUUUGGGAAAGGCAGUUUACAUUCAUUUAUUAGUUUUGGUUACCAGUCAUUUAAUUCACUUCUUAAUUUAAACUAUAUAUGUAUUUAUAGAUAUAUAUUGAGUUUCCUUAUUUAUUUAUUCUAAUUUAUCGCCUCUAG
Molecule: long non-coding RNA, 1130 nt
Filed under: Jatropha curcas
Lineage: Eukaryota; Viridiplantae; Streptophyta; Magnoliopsida; Malpighiales; Euphorbiaceae
Description: long non-coding RNA (JCUR_LNC000521)
Source: RNAcentral